GCCGGAGUGGCGAAAUUGGUAGACGCGCCUGACUUAGGAUCAGGAGCCGAAAGGUGUGCAGGUUCGAGUCCUGUCUCCGGCA
RNAcentral lists this transfer RNA (82 nucleotides) under Verrucomicrobiales bacterium VVV1. It matches the Rfam family "tRNA". Rfam says of the family: Transfer RNA (tRNA) molecules are approximately 80 nucleotides in length. Their secondary structure includes four short double-helical elements and three loops (D, anti-codon, and T loops). The record is from Rfam by way of RNAcentral. RNAcentral also lists the same sequence under 1 other name. Lineage: Bacteria; Pseudomonadati; Verrucomicrobiota; Verrucomicrobiia; Verrucomicrobiales.